RNAcentral lists this ribosomal RNA (468 nucleotides) under uncultured bacterium. RNAcentral's name for it is "partial 16S ribosomal RNA". It matches the Rfam family "Bacterial small subunit ribosomal RNA", at positions 28 to 507 of the family's 1533-position model. The record is from RNAcentral.
GACGAACGCUGGCGGCGUGCUUAACACAUGCAAGUCGAACGGAAAGGCCCUGCUUUUGUUGGGUGCUCGAGUGGCGAACGGGUGAGUAACACGUGAGUAACCUGCCCUUGACUUUGGGAUAACUUCAGGAAACUGGGGCUAAUACCGGAUAGGAGCUCCUGCUGCAUGGUGGGGGUUGGAAAGUUUCGGCGGUUGGGGAUGGACUCGCGGCUUAUCAGCUUGUUGGUGGGGUAGUGGCUUACCAAGGCUUUGACGGGUAGCCGGCCUGAGAGGGUGACCGGCCACAUUGGGACUGCGAUACGGCCCAGAGUCCUACGGGCGGCAGCAGUGGGGAAUAUUGCACAAUGGGCGGAAGCCUGAUGCAGCAACGCCGCGUGCGGGAUGACGGCCUUCGGGUUGUAAACCGCUUUCGCCUGUGACGAAGCGUGAGUGACGGUAAUGGGUAAAGAAGCACCGGCUAACUACGUG